RNAcentral lists this ribosomal RNA (460 nucleotides) under uncultured bacterium. RNAcentral's name for it is "partial 16S ribosomal RNA". It matches the Rfam family "Bacterial small subunit ribosomal RNA", at positions 338 to 795 of the family's 1533-position model. The record is from RNAcentral.
CCUACGGGUGACAGCAGUGAGGAAUAUUGGACAAUGGACGAGAGUCUGAACCAGCCAAGUAGCGUGAAGGAUGACUGCCUUAUGGGUUGUAAGCACUUUUUAUAAAGGGAUAAAACGAGGCACGUGUGCCUUUUUGCAUGUACGUUACGAACAAGGAUCGGCCAACUUCGGGCCAGCAGACGCGGUAAUACGGAGGGUCCGAGCGUUACGCGGAUUUAUUGGGUUGAAAGGGAGCGGAGGGGGGUUGUUAAGUCAGUUGUGAAAGUUUGGGGCUGAACCGUGGAAUUGCACUUGAUACUGGCAGGCUUGAGUACAGUAGAGGUGGGCGGAAUUCGAGGUGUAGCGGUGAAAUGCGUAGAUAUCUCGAAGAACCCCGAUGGCGAAGGCAGCUUACUGGACUGUGACUGACGUUGAUGCGCGAAAGUGUGGGGAGCAAACAGGAUUAGAUACCCCUGUAGUC